GGGGCCGAGUAGAACGUUUUCACGAACUACGCUCGUAGAAGGCAUGGAAUCGUCGAAGUGGACCGGGGUUCAAUUCCCCGCGGCUCCA
Molecule: transfer RNA, 88 nt
Filed under: Leucobacter aridicollis
Lineage: Bacteria; Bacillati; Actinomycetota; Actinomycetes; Micrococcales; Microbacteriaceae
Description: tRNA-Phe
Source: RNAcentral